UCCAAUGCUGCUUUGUCUAGAAUUUAGAAUCAAGAGUGAAGUCAGGAAAGCGCCUCAAGUGAACAGCAUCCAUUAUCUGCAUCCACUUCCGGUUUAGGGGUCUCUGUCUCUCUCUCUCUUGCUCUCUGUCCUUCCCUCUCUGUCCCUCUCCUCCUCCCUCUCUCCCUUCUCUCCCCCUCCCUUUCCUCCUCCUUUCUUCCCGUCCCUCUCCCCUCUCCCCUCCAAGCCAGAAGUGACCUCACCAUCAGAGGCCCGUUCUUUAAGAGGUCUUAACCUGGACACUGGUUCCAGGCUGUCCAGAGUUCUUCUGUAGAGCGGGUUCAGUUGCUGCUUCUGGAUGAACCAGGAUGAACUGAAAGCACUUGAAAGGAGGAAGGAAGAAGGGAGGAAGAGAGAAACUAAGGUCUGGCUAUUUUCUCCACACAGAGAAGAUCUCAGCUCUGACUCUCCCGACUCAGGUGCACAGUAGACACCAGUGGUUGAUGGCCACCGCGUGGACACUGGGUUCUAGAAAGUGGCCACUGCAUGGACAUCAUGUUCUAGACACCUCAGGUGAAGCUGGUGGGGCGAAGGUUCAGCAUCAAAAGGAGAACAUCAUGAUUUUCACAAGUGGUCCCUUGUUUUCACACUAACAGAGUAAAAAUUGGAAUCAAAUCAGGAAAGGGAAGACCUCAAGCACAGUUUCAAAUUCCUUGGAGAAUCAGAAGAAGCCAGAAUCACUGACAUCUGCUGAGCUGUGAUCAUUGUUAACUGCGUGAGCUGGACAAAGUUAGCUGGGGUGCUGAGAGCCACUGCUGCCCCGAGGAACCAAGAACAUGGUUGUCUGGGUGAGCUCACACUACUGUUACUUGGGGGAAUGGAUACGACUGUCACCUGGAGGAGCUGAGAACCACUGUUACCUGUGGAGAGGGGGAGGGUAAGAACAUUGGUACCUGGGCAGGAGGUGAGAACAGUGGUACCUGGUGAGCCAGUAAAACUGUUUGGGUGAGUGGAUGCUACUGUUACUUAGGAAAGUGAUACAACUUUAAUCUGGGUCAUCUGAGAACCAGUUACCUGAGUGAGCUGAGAUAUUGUUACUUGGAGGAGCUAAAGCCACUGUUGCCUUGAACAGUUAAGAACCACUCCUGUCUUGGAGGGGGUUACCACCGUUAUCCCAGUCAGAUGAGACUAUUGUCGCCUGGAAGCCUGAGGAGCACUUUUACCUGAGCAGUGGAGACCACUGUUAACAGUGCUGAGGUCACUGUUAGCCAGUGAACAGAGAACAGUGUUACAUGUAGGGGUCACUCAGUUAUCUGAGUAAGCUGAGAUAUUGUUACUUGGAGGAGUCCUGGCCACUGUUACCCGUAUGUGCUGAGGACCAUCAUUACCUGUCUGAGAUGAGAACCAUAGCUGACCCUCUGGGAAGUGAGACCUCCAUUACUUGGGUGAGUUAAGAACCAUGUUAACUGGGUGAACAGAACUGUGUUACACAAAGAGCUUGAUAACCAUGUUACCUGGUUGGGGGGGGGGUGCUGAGACAUCCAUUGUCUGGGGGAGCUGGGAGACUUCCAUUAUCAUUUCAAUGGUGAUCUGAGGUCAUUAUUACCUUGUGAUGCUGAGACCACUGUUAGCUGGGGGAGUUGAAAAUGGUGUUAUAUGGAAGAGCUGAGACCACUGUUAUCUGGAGGAGUUGUGAUCAUUGUUACAGGGUGAACUGAGACCAUCUGAUACCUAAGCAAGAGAAACAGUUACUUACCAUGGUGAGCAAAGAUAGCCUUUAUCUCGGAGAGCUGGGAACCAUUGUACACAGAGAUCAGAGA
Long non-coding RNA from Peromyscus maniculatus bairdii (prairie deer mouse), 1799 nucleotides. RefSeq lists it as uncharacterized. The record is from RefSeq and is a predicted model, not a curated record. Lineage: Eukaryota; Metazoa; Chordata; Mammalia; Rodentia; Cricetidae.